This 516-nucleotide ribosomal RNA is filed under the name Fusarium cf. solani A77. RNAcentral describes it as "eukaryotic LSU rRNA". The stretch from base 129 to 282 matches the Rfam family "5.8S ribosomal RNA". Lineage: Eukaryota; Fungi; Ascomycota; Sordariomycetes; Hypocreales; Nectriaceae. The record is from RNAcentral.
CUGUGACAUACCUAAAACGUUGCUUCGGCGGGAACAGACGGCCCCGUAACACGGGCCGCCCCCGCCAGAGGACCCCCUAACUCUGUUUCUAUUAUGUUUCUUCUGAGUAAAACAAGCAAAUAAAUUAAAACUUUCAACAACGGAUCUCUUGGCUCUGGCAUCGAUGAAGAACGCAGCGAAAUGCGAUAAGUAAUGUGAAUUGCAGAAUUCAGUGAAUCAUCGAAUCUUUGAACGCACAUUGCGCCCGCCAGUAUUCUGGCGGGCAUGCCUGUUCGAGCGUCAUUACAACCCUCAGGCCCCCGGGCCUGGCGUUGGGGAUCGGCGAGGCGCCCCCUGCGGGCACACGCCGUCCCCCAAAUACAGUGGCGGUCCCGCCGCAGCUUCCAUUGCGUAGUAGCUAACACCUCGCAACUGGAGAGCGGCGCGGCCACGCCGUAAAACACCCAACUUCUGAAUGUUGACCUCGAAUCAGGUAGGAAUACCCGCUGAACUUAAGCAUAUCAAUAAGCGGAGGAA